UUGGUCCUGUUAUUGCUACAAAU
Molecule: small nuclear RNA, 23 nt
Filed under: Arabidopsis thaliana (thale cress)
Lineage: Eukaryota; Viridiplantae; Streptophyta; Magnoliopsida; Brassicales; Brassicaceae
Description: snRNA_14214
Source: RNAcentral